CAAAGGCAUGGUCCAGACCUUACUAUCAGCUAUAACCCCACUUACACAUGCAAGUAUCCGCAUCCCAGUGAAUUAUGCCCUCAACUCCAAAUCAGGAGACGAGGGGCAGGUAUCAGGCACAUAUAUUAGCCCAAGACGCCAAGCCAAGGCCACACCCCCAAGGGAAUUCAGCAGUGAUUAACAUUAAAUUAUAAGUGAAAACUUGAUUUAGUUAGGGCUAAAAGAGCCGGUAAAACUCGUGCCAGCCACCGCGGUUAGACGAGAGGCCCUAGUUGAUAUAUCACCGGCGUAAAGGGUGGUUAGGAAAUAUAAAUAAUAAAGUCAAAUGGCCCCUUAGCCGUUAUACGCUUCUAGACGUCCGAAGUCCAAUUUAUACGAAAGUAACUUUAAUUAAACAUGCCCGACCCCACGAAAGCUGAGAAACAAACUGGGAUUAGAUACCCCACUAUGCUCAGCCAUAAACUCAAACAUCAGACCACAAUAAGAUGUUCGCCAGGGUAUUACGAGCACUAGCUUAAAACCCAAAGGACCUGACGGUGUCUCAGAUCCACCUAGAGGAGCCUGUUCUAUAAUCGAUAACCCCCGCUUAACCUCACCACUUUUAGUCAUCCCAGUCUAUAUACCGCCGUCGUAAGCUUACCCUGUGAGGGAAAUAUAGUAAGCAAAAUGAGUAUAACCCAAAACGUCAGGUCAAGGUGUAGCGCAUGAAGUGGAAAGAAAUGGGCUACAUUUUCUAUCACAGAAUACUACGAAUAGCUACCAUGAAAUUUAAUGCUUGAAGGAGGAUUUAGCAGUAAAAAGGAAACAUAGUGUCCUUUUGAAGCCGGCUCUGAGACGCGUACACACCGCCCGUCACUCUCUCCAUUUUAAACACAAUUAUUAACUAAUACACAUAACACUUAAAUCUUUAAGGGGAGAAAAGUCGUAACACGGUAAGUGUACCGGAAGGUGCACUUGGAUCAAACC
Molecule: non-coding RNA, 966 nt
Filed under: Enteromius jae (Jae barb)
Lineage: Eukaryota; Metazoa; Chordata; Actinopteri; Cypriniformes; Cyprinidae
Description: 12S rRNA
Rfam family: Bacterial small subunit ribosomal RNA
Source: RNAcentral